RNAcentral lists this long non-coding RNA (203 nucleotides) under Elaeis guineensis (African oil palm). RNAcentral describes it as "long non-coding RNA (EGUI_LNC023509)". Lineage: Eukaryota; Viridiplantae; Streptophyta; Magnoliopsida; Arecales; Arecaceae. The record is from RNAcentral.
GGAUGCAGAGCUUCAUGCCACUUGGGUUAGUAUUGUCUGUGCCCAAGAGGAUGAGAGGAUCACCAUUGAGGAUGACUCUACCACUAUGAUAGGCUGGAUUCGGAGUGAUGUAACACAUCUAGAUGCCCACCCACUCCUUCAUGGCAUUCGGAUCUGCCUUCGAAACUUCAUGAUGGUUUUUGCUCAACAUAUCUUUCAGAAGG